RNAcentral lists this ribosomal RNA (336 nucleotides) under Acinetobacter ursingii. RNAcentral's name for it is "bacterial SSU rRNA". It matches the Rfam family "Bacterial small subunit ribosomal RNA", at positions 1 to 335 of the family's 1533-position model. Lineage: Bacteria; Pseudomonadati; Pseudomonadota; Gammaproteobacteria; Moraxellales; Moraxellaceae. The record is from RNAcentral.
UUUAACUGAAGAGUUUGAUCAUGGCUCAGAUUGAACGCUGGCGGCAGGCUUAACACAUGCAAGUCGAGCGGAGAGAAGUAGCUUGCUACUGAUCUUAGCGGCGGACGGGUGAGUAAUACUUAGGAAUCUGGCUAUUAGUGGGGGACAACAUUUCGAAAGGGAUGCUAAUACCGCAUACGUCCUACGGGAGAAAGCAGGGGAUCAGUAAUGACCUUGCGCUAAUAGAUGAGCCUAAGUCGGAUUAGCUAGUUGGUGGGGUAAAGGCCUACCAAGGCGACGAUCUGUAGCGGGUCUGAGAGGAUGAUCCGCCACACUGGGACUGAGACACGGCCCAGA